RNAcentral lists this ribosomal RNA (324 nucleotides) under uncultured eukaryote. RNAcentral describes it as "partial 18S ribosomal RNA". It matches the Rfam family "Eukaryotic small subunit ribosomal RNA", at positions 1470 to 1796 of the family's 1831-position model. The record is from RNAcentral.
CCCUUAGAUGUCCUGGGCUGCACGCGCGCUACACUGAUGUGUCCAGUAAGCACCUAACCUACUCCGAGAGGAGCGGGUAACCUUAGCAAAGCACAUCGUGAUGGGGAUAGAUUAUUGCAAUUAUUAGUCUUGAACGAGGAAUUCCUAGUAAGCACAAGUCAUCAGCUUGUGUUGAUUACGUCCCUGCCCUUUGUACACACCGCCCGUCGCUCCUACCGAUUGAAUGUUCCGGUGAGCUCUUCGGACUGCGCGGUCUGCAGUUUCUGCGUUCCGUGCGGAAAGUUGUGCAAACCUUAACAUUUAGAGGAAGGAGAAGUCGUAACA